This 253-nucleotide ribosomal RNA is filed under the name uncultured bacterium. Its description in RNAcentral is "partial 16S ribosomal RNA". It matches the Rfam family "Bacterial small subunit ribosomal RNA", at positions 524 to 776 of the family's 1533-position model. The record is from RNAcentral.
UACGAAGGGGGCUAGCGUUGCUCGGAAUUACUGGGCGUAAAGGGCGCGUAGGCGGACAGUUUAGUCAGAGGUGAAAGCCCAGAGCUCAACUCUGGAAUUGCCUUUGAGACUGAGUGGCUUGAGUACGGGAGAGGUGAGUGGAAUUCCCAGUGUAGAGGUGAAAUUCGUAGAUAUUGGGAAGAACACCGGUGGCGAAGGCGGCUCACUGGCCCGUAACUGACGCUCAUGCACGACAGCGUGGGGAUCAAACAGG